RNAcentral lists this unclassified non-coding RNA (365 nucleotides) under uncultured fungus. RNAcentral describes it as "sequence contains ITS2". The stretch from base 1 to 154 matches the Rfam family "5.8S ribosomal RNA". Lineage: Eukaryota; Fungi. The record is from RNAcentral.
AACUUUUGACAAUGGAUCACUUGGUUCUGGCAUCGAUGAAGAACGCAGCGAAAUGCUAUAAGUAAUGUGAAUUGCAGAAUUCAGUGAAUCAUCGAAUCUUUGAACGCACAUUGCGCCCUCUGGUAUUCCGGGGGGCAUGCCUGUUCGAGCGUCAUUACAACCCUCAAGCACUGCUUGGUAUUGGGCUACACACGACUGGGUGGGCCUUAAAAUCAGUGGCGGUGCCAUCUGGCUCUAAGCGUAGUAAUUCUUCUCGCUCUGGAGAUCUAGGUGUUUGCUUGCCAGCAACCCCCAAUUUAUCAAAGGUUGACCUCGGAUCAGGUAGGGAUACCCGCUGAACUUAAGCAUAUCAAUAAGCGGAGGCU